RNAcentral lists this ribosomal RNA (468 nucleotides) under uncultured bacterium. RNAcentral describes it as "partial 16S ribosomal RNA". It matches the Rfam family "Bacterial small subunit ribosomal RNA", at positions 28 to 507 of the family's 1533-position model. The record is from RNAcentral.
GACGAACGCUGGCGGCGUGCUUAACACAUGCAAGUCGAACGGAAAGGCCCUGCUUUUGUGGGGUGCUCGAGUGGCGAACGGGUGAGUAACACGUGAGUAACCUGCCCUUGACUUUGGGAUAACUUCAGGAAACUGGGGCUAAUACCGGAUAGGAGCUCCUGCUGCAUGGUGGGGGUUGGAAAGUUUCGGCGGUUGGGGAUGGACUCGCGGCUUAUCAGCUUGUUGGUGGGGUAGUGGCUUACCAAGGCUUUGACGGGUAGCGGGCCUGAGAGGGUGACCGGCCACAUUGGGACGGAGAUACGGCCCAGACUCCUACGGGAGGAAGCAGUGGGGAAUAGUGCACAAUGGGCGGAAGGCUGAUGCAGCAACGCCGCGUGCGGGAUGACGGCCUUCGGGUUGUAAAGCGCUUGCGCCUGUGACGAAGCGUGAGUGACGGUAAUGGGUAAAGAAGCACCGGCUAACUACGUG